CCUACGGGCGACAGCAGUGAGGAAUAUUGGUCAAUGGACGAGAGUCUGAACCAGCCAAGUAGCGUGAAGGAUGACUGCCCUAUGGGUUGUAAACUUCUUUUAUAUGGGAAUAAAAUGUUCCACGUGUGGGAUUUUGUAUGUACCAUAUGAAUAAGGAUCGGCUAACUCCGUGCCAGCAGCCGCGGUAAUACGGAGGGUCCGAGCGUUAUCCGGAUUUAUUGGGUUUAAAGGGAGCGUAGGUGGAUUGUUAAGUCAGUUGUGAAAGUUUGCGGCUCAACCGUAAAAUUGCAGUUGAAACUGGCAGUCUUGAGUACAGUAGAGGUAGGCGGAAUUCGUGGUGUAGCGGUGAAAUGCUUAGAUAUCACGAAGAACUCCGAUUGCGAAGGCAGUUCACUGGACUGCAACUGACACUGAGGCUCGAAAGUGUGGGUAUCAAACAGGAUUAGAUACCCUUGUAGUC
This 460-nucleotide ribosomal RNA is filed under the name uncultured bacterium. RNAcentral's name for it is "partial 16S ribosomal RNA". It matches the Rfam family "Bacterial small subunit ribosomal RNA", at positions 338 to 795 of the family's 1533-position model. The record is from RNAcentral.